This 435-nucleotide ribosomal RNA is filed under the name uncultured Anaerofustis sp. RNAcentral describes it as "partial 16S ribosomal RNA". It matches the Rfam family "Bacterial small subunit ribosomal RNA", at positions 341 to 792 of the family's 1533-position model. Lineage: Bacteria; Bacillati; Bacillota; Clostridia; Eubacteriales; Eubacteriaceae. The record is from RNAcentral.
ACGGAAGGCAGCAGUGGGGAAUAUUGCGCAAUGGGGGCAACCCUGACGCAGCAACGCCGCGUGAGUGAUGAAGGUUUUCGGAUCGUAAAGCUCUGUUCUGGGGGAAGAAAUUUGACGGUACCCCAGCAGGAAGCUCCGGCUAAAUACGUGCCAGCAGCCGCGGUAAUACGUAUGGAGCGAGCGUUGUCCGGAUUUACUGGGCGUAAAGGGCACGCAGGCGGUCAACUAAGCCAGGUGUGAAAGUUUUCGGCUCAACCGGAAAAGUGCACUUGGAACUGGAUGACUUGAGUCUCGGAGAGGUAAGCGGAAUUCCUAGUGUAGCGGUGAAAUGCGUAGAGAUUAGGAAGAACACCGGUGGCGAAGGCGGCUUACUGGACGAGUACUGACGCUCAGGUGCGAAAGCGUGGGGAGCAAACAGGAUUAGAUACCCUGGUA